UGACUUCCUGUGGCAUGCGCCGGCGGAAACAAAUCAUUGAGGGCGGAGUCGCCGGGCGCUGCUCGGUUAGAGAGUUUCGCAGCACAAAAAGUGUGGAAACGGGUAGUUGAAGCAAUGGAAACAGAGAGCGCAAA
Caenorhabditis elegans is the source of this 134-nucleotide non-coding RNA. The record is from Ensembl. Lineage: Eukaryota; Metazoa; Nematoda; Chromadorea; Rhabditida; Rhabditidae.